This 484-nucleotide ribosomal RNA is filed under the name uncultured bacterium. RNAcentral's name for it is "partial 16S ribosomal RNA". It matches the Rfam family "Bacterial small subunit ribosomal RNA", at positions 30 to 507 of the family's 1533-position model. The record is from RNAcentral.
AUUGAACGCUGGCGGCAGGCCUAACACAUGCAAGUCGAGCGGAUGAAGGGAGCUUGCUCCUGGAUUCAGCGGCGGACGGGUGAGUAAUGCCUAGGAAUCUGCCUGGUAGUGGGGGAUAACGUCCGGAAACGGGCGCUAAUACCGCAUACGUCCUGAGGGAGAAAGUGGGGGAUCUUCGGACCUCCCGCUCUCAGCUGAGCCUAGGUCGGAUUAGCUAGUUGGUGGGGUAAAGGCCUACCAAGGCGACGAUCCGUAACUGGUCUGAGAGGAUGAUCAGUCACACUGGAACUGAGACACGGUCCAGACUCCUACGGGAGGCAGCAGUGGGGAAUAUUGGACAAUGGGCGAAAGCCUGAUCCAGCCAUGCCGCGUGUGUGAAGAAGGUCUUCGGAUUGUAAAGCACUUUAAGUUGGGAGGAAGGGCAGUAAGUUAAUACCUUGCUGUUUUGACGUUACCAACAGAAUAAGCACCGGCUAACUUCGUG